GACGAACGCUGGCGGCGUGCUUAACACAUGCAAGUCGAACGGAAAGGCCCUGCUUUUGUGGGGUGCUCGAGUGGCGAACGGGUGAGUAACACGUGAGUAACCUGCCCUUGACUUUGGGAUAACUUCAGGAAACUGGGGCUAAUACCGGAUAGGAGCUCCUGCUGCAUGGUAGGGGUUGGAAAGUUUCGGCGGUUGGGGAUGGACUCGCGGCUUAUCAGCUUGUUGGUGGGGUAGUGGCUUACCAAGGCUUUGACGGGUAGCCGGCCUGAGAGGGCGACCGGGCAGGUUGGGGCGGGGAUACGGCCCAGACUCCUGCGGGAGGGAGCAGUGGGGAAGAGUGCGCAAUGGGCGGAAGCCUGAUGCAGCAACGCCGCGUGCGGGAUGACGGCCUUCGGGUUGUAAACCGCUUUCGCCUGUGACGAAGCGUGAGUGACGGUAAUGGGUAAAGAAGCACCGGCUAAGUACGUG
RNAcentral lists this ribosomal RNA (468 nucleotides) under uncultured bacterium. RNAcentral's name for it is "partial 16S ribosomal RNA". It matches the Rfam family "Bacterial small subunit ribosomal RNA", at positions 28 to 507 of the family's 1533-position model. The record is from RNAcentral.